This 467-nucleotide ribosomal RNA is filed under the name uncultured bacterium. Its description in RNAcentral is "partial 16S ribosomal RNA". It matches the Rfam family "Bacterial small subunit ribosomal RNA", at positions 28 to 507 of the family's 1533-position model. The record is from RNAcentral.
GACGAACGCUGGCGGCGUGCUUAACACAUGCAAGUCGAACGGAAAGGCCUCUUUCGGGUGGUACUCGAGUGGCGAACGGGUGAGUAACACGUGAGUAACCUGCCCUUGACUUUGGGAUAACUUCAGGAAACUGGGGCUAAUACCGGAUAGGAGCUCCUGCUGCAUGGUGGGGGUUGGAAAGUUUCGGCGGUUGGGGAUGGACUCGCGGCUUAUCAGCUUGUUGGUGGGGUAGUGGCUUACCAAGGCUUUGACGGGUAGCCGGCCUGAGAGGGUGACCGGCCACAUUGGGACUGAGAUACGGCACAGACUCCUACGGGAGGCAGCAGUGGGGAAUAUUGCACAAUGGGUGGAAGCCUGAUGCAGCAACGCCGUGUGCGGGAUGACGGCCUUCGGGUUGUAAACCGCUUUCGCUCAUGACGAAGCUUUGUGUGACGGUAGUGGGUAAAGAAGCACCGGCUAACUACGUG